RNAcentral lists this transfer RNA (85 nucleotides) under Flavobacteriia bacterium. RNAcentral describes it as "tRNA-Tyr". It matches the Rfam family "tRNA". Rfam says of the family: Transfer RNA (tRNA) molecules are approximately 80 nucleotides in length. Their secondary structure includes four short double-helical elements and three loops (D, anti-codon, and T loops). The record is from RNAcentral. Lineage: Bacteria; Pseudomonadati; Bacteroidota; Flavobacteriia.
GGGAGUGUCGCAUAGUGGCUAUUGCAGCAGACUGUAAAUCUGUCGUCGGAAGACAUCGGUGGUUCGAGUCCAUCCACUCCCACAA